GAUGAAGAACGUAGUGAACUGCGAUAAGUAAUGUGAAUUGCAGAAUUCAGUGAAUCAUCGAGUCUUUGAACGCACAUUGCGCCCCCUGGCAUUCCGGGGGGCAUGCCUGUCCGAGCGUCAUUGCUGCCCUUCAAGCCCGGCUUGUGUGUUGGGUCGUCGUCCCCCCCGGGGGACGGGCCCGAAAGGCAGCGGCGGCACCGCGUCCGGUCCUCGAGCGUAUGGGGCUUUGUCACCCGCUCGAUUAGGGCCGGCCGGGCGCCAGCCGGCGUCUCCAACCUUCUAUUUUACCAGGUUGACCUCGGAUCAGGUAGGGAUACCCGCUGAACUUAAGCAUAUCAAUAACGGAGGA
Molecule: unclassified non-coding RNA, 349 nt
Filed under: soil metagenome
Description: partial contains 5.8S ribosomal RNA, internal transcribed spacer 2, and large subunit ribosomal RNA
Rfam family: 5.8S ribosomal RNA (bases 1-120)
Source: RNAcentral